AGCAGCCGCGGUAAUUCCAGCUCCAAUAGCGUAUAUUAAAGUUGCUGCAGUUAAAAAGCUCGUAGUUGAAUUUCGGGGUUAGUAGGUUGGUCAUGCCUCUGGUAUGUACUGGUCUCACUGAUUCCUCCUUCCUGAUGAACCUUAAUGCCAUUAAUUUGGUGUUUUGGGGAAUUUGGACUGUUACUUUGAAAAAAUUAGAGUGUUUAAAGCAAGCUAACGCUUGAAUACAUUAGCAUGGAAUAAUGAAAUAGGACGUUCGAUCCUAUUUUGUUGGUUUCUAGGAUUGACGUAAUGAUUAAUAGGGAUAGUUGGGGGCAUUAGUAUUCAAUUGUCAGAGGUGAAAUUCUUGGAUUUAUUGAAGACUAACUACUGCGAAAGCAUUUGCCAAGGAUGUUCUCAUUAAUCAAGAACGAAAGUUAGGGGAUCGAAGACGAUCAGAUACCGUCGUAGUCUUAACCAUAAACUAUGCCGACUAAGGAUCGGAUGAUGUUAAUUUUUAAUGACUCAUUCGGCGCCUUAA
This 520-nucleotide ribosomal RNA is filed under the name uncultured Glomus. RNAcentral describes it as "SSU rRNA". It matches the Rfam family "Eukaryotic small subunit ribosomal RNA", at positions 569 to 1091 of the family's 1831-position model. The record is from RNAcentral. Lineage: Eukaryota; Fungi; Glomeromycota; Glomeromycetes; Glomerales; Glomeraceae.